GAUGAACGCUGGCGGCGUGCCUAAUACAUGCAAGUCGAGCGAACAGACGAGGAUCUUGCUCCUCUUACGUUAGCGGCGGACGGGUGAGUAACACGUGGAUAACCUACCUAUAAGACUGGGAUAACUUCGGGAAACCGGAGCUAAUACCGGAUAAUAUAUUGAACCGCAUGGUUCAAUAGUGAAAGACGGUUUUGCUGUCCCUUAUAGAUGGAUCCUCGCCGCAUUAGCUAGUUGGUAAGGUAACGGCUUACCAAGGCAACGAUGCGUAGCCGACCUGAGAGGGUGAUCAGCCACACUGGAACUGAGACACGGUCCAGACUCCUACGGGAGGCAGCAGUAGGGAAUCUUCCCCAAUGGGCGAAAGCCUGACGGAGCAACGCCGCGUGAGUGAUGAAGGUCUUCGGAUCGUAAAACUCUGUUAUUAGGGAAGAACAAAUGUGUAAGUAACUAUGCACGUCUUGACGGUACCUAAUCAGAAAGCCACGGCUAACUACGUG
This 497-nucleotide ribosomal RNA is filed under the name uncultured bacterium. RNAcentral describes it as "partial 16S ribosomal RNA". It matches the Rfam family "Bacterial small subunit ribosomal RNA", at positions 28 to 507 of the family's 1533-position model. The record is from RNAcentral.